UUUUUGCCGUAGCUAAGUGUGCGUGCAUGUUCGCUCCGGAGGACAGGAGGUCGCUCUUGGUGAUCGUGAGUGCUGGGCGUGUCGUCUAGCAAGCGGCGGCGGGAGGUAGGGAAGCGUGGUCUAGGUAGGGAAACGGCGGCGGCUAGGUAGGCAAGAAGCACGGGCUACAGCGACUGGGGUGGAGGCGCAGCGAGCGGGCCCGGAAGGAGAGGCUGCGCCGGCUGUUUGGCGGCGUCGAGGAGGGGCAGGUGUGGCGCGGGCAGCGGGUCGUCGUGAAGGAGCUCAAGGGACCGAGGCUGCUCCCGGGCGGGUUCCGGUUCCCCUUCCCCCCUGCGCCAACCUCUCCUCUUACCUCCCUAGUCCCUCCGCCACGUCUCCAAGGUCCCCAUCCUCCAGCUCCGCGAGCUCGCCUUCCUCCAGCGGAAGUCCGAGUAGUAAGUAUACGAGCCCCCGCUCCCGCCCGACCUCCGGCUGUUCCAACGGUUCGAGUCCUUACGAAGGCGUACCGUCCAGGCAAGCGAGUGCCUAAAAGAGUUCCACUCCGCCACAGAAGAGAAGAGAGGCAAGUAGACAUUAUAUCCGGCUGUUCCAACGGUUCCAGUCCUUACGACGGCGUACCGUCCAGGCAAGCGAGUACCUAAAAGAGUUCUCUAUUACGCCCACAGGAGGAACGAAUUCGUGGUUGGACUACCCCUGAAACUCUCCAACGGCGGCUACCGCGCAGGUUUGGUCUACGUAGUAGUAGUCAGCGGGGGUUACGGAUUAAAGACACCUUUACCAAAACCGGGCACCUUGGUGCCCCGCGUCGGUCUCUCCCAUCCAAAAGGAGUUCCUGGGCACCCAACCGUUCCUCGUGGUGUUUCGGGGAGAGGUAUGUAACAGUUCUUCUAAAACGCCAACUUCUAUGGUUGUCUAUGAAUGGGAUUACAUGCAAGUAAGUACGAACGUUCACAAGAUAAUCAUACCUUAGUAAUAAAUGAGACGAACGGUAUGAACAAGUUAAGUUAAAAUAACCGGCAGAAGAACCCGGUUCCCCUUUGAGCAACUUCUCCUAACUUCGGUGAUGCCCAACAGCACAAAAAUAGUAUCCCUUCCCGAGUUAAUUUCUAGGACCCUUCCUUGGAUGGUGCGCGCGGCUCCGCUCCCGGAGCACCUGAGGCAGGUAGCGGCGAACCGGCUGCUGGGGCGGCGAACCGGUUCCUGGAGUACUACCUAGCUAAUAAAGAGUCGAACCGUGUACGUCAUGCCGUCGUGUGGCGCACGUCAAAGGAACCUAAGAUAAGGUAGAGAAGGGCCAGCGAAGGAGAUUAACGAAGAGUUUAGUAAGCAAGCAAGCACGACCAGUAGGAGGAUGUAGACAGACAGAGCGAGAGGCUAACUAAUUAGCACAAGUAACCCUAAAUUUUUCUCCUUGUACCUAAAAACAACCACUGAACAUUCGUCGUUGUUAUAGAACGUCAAAGAUUAAAAGAUCGGUAGGUGUACUCAUGUCUAGUCCACUCAUGGAGCCCCGUCUUGGGCGCGACGGCAUGGACUCGGGGAUGUACACACCGCUCUUGGACGAGCAGCCGCGGUUGAAGCGCAGGUGGCUGAAGCUGUAGGAGUUACUGUGUCCGCACGUUAAGCACUUGUAGUAGUCCUAACGCGUCGUAGACGUCUUGAAGCUCCUGAUGGUCGUCUCCGAGCGCUGCAUGCAGCCGCUCCUGCGCCGUUCCCUCGCGUACUCGGUCAGCGACCACGAGUAGUGUGAACCACCGUUGCUGAAGAAGUUGUUGAUGACGGACCAAGGGAAGAGGCGAUCCAGGGUCGUCAAGCUCUAGGUGCCGAUGUAGAGGAAGUUAUAGAGGCUCAUGUUCUUUCAGGAGCGCCCACUAUACCUACUUCCUCUUCUCCGGUCGUCACGACUCGAUUUGUUAAAUCCCUCCAUAACCUAACUGGAGACAUCUUUGAUACCAUUUCCGUGGAAUAGAACCCGAGGAUCUUCUUCCUUUGAGUUGUACGCACCAAGAGUAAUCUCCGUUGGUCUGGCAACAACUUUUAUAACUACUAAGGACAACACAUAAGAGUUCCUUACCAGUCCAAUUUAUGACUGGCAACGCCACGCAUCUUCUUUCCACGGUGAAAGUGAAUCAAGAGAAUCAAGAUUCAACCCUGACGUUUUUGAACUCUCAAAGGGGUGUAUCUGGACUUCAAAGACGAAGAUCGUAAAGAGAAGACAUUCGUUGUACCGUUUGGUCCAAAGUUUCAUUUCUGGACUCCUUCUUACAUCUAACUAGUGACACUAAAGUUCAGGAAGUCUCGACCUCGACAAUUCUGAACUCUGUCUAUAUACGUCCCGGUGUCCCCGGAUGUUCUAGGUUAAGUAUUCUUUCGACUCCGUGUAGUUAGUUUGCGGUUGGGUGGACGAUAACCGUGAUUUACUCCUUCCUUUUUCUUGUAACAGGGACUUCCGAACUCUAUGUGUUUGUCCGUUGACUCAAACCCUUUCCACCAACAGAGGAACUGCGUGUGGUACCACGGGAACAGAUGAGAGAGAGAAGAAGGAACCUGUCUGUGGAAUAAAUGACCAUCGUCCAAGAGAGCAUGGUAAAAAGCCACCUCAACAUAACCGUAGAAACUGACUUCAAAGAAAGUUGACCUACCAAUGUUCAGUUCCUUCUAAAAAAAUGAUAUUAACGAGUUCAUGACACGCUUCCUUCGACUUCUGUUAUAAAGACUAUAAAAUCCUCUACGUUCACUACACCUUAUUACUUUUAUGUAACGUAGUUCAUGUAAAAAGCUAACAAUGACAUUUUUUUAAAGAUAUGUACACUUUAACCUUCACGUAAUACGAAUACAUACGUUAGUCUUUUUUUAAUUAUCCGGGCACCGUUGCGUACCCGUAACAUGAUCAUUAUGUAAUCCAACGGAAUAGGGAUAUCGUGUAGUCUCUCAUCGAGAAACGUGCAACACGUACGCUGGGUAUCCAGAACUCAAGCCUAGGGACGCGGUGUAAAAGCAAGAAGGUAAAGGUGAAACAUGACUGUCUGUCCUGGGAGAACACGACCCCCGAAAAGCUACUUUUUAUUAUUGAGGUCUAAAAAAUAACGUUUUAUUGGCCGGCCCGGUAACUGUCACCCAGGGCGCGGUGCUAUCGGACGGAACAGCCGUAACAAACUGCG
Molecule: ribosomal RNA, 3161 nt
Filed under: Triticum aestivum (bread wheat)
Lineage: Eukaryota; Viridiplantae; Streptophyta; Magnoliopsida; Poales; Poaceae
Description: partial small subunit ribosomal RNA
Source: RNAcentral